Molecule: ribosomal RNA, 467 nt
Filed under: uncultured bacterium
Lineage: Bacteria
Description: partial 16S ribosomal RNA
Rfam family: Bacterial small subunit ribosomal RNA
Source: RNAcentral
GACGAACGCUGGCGGCGUGCUUAACACAUGCAAGUCGAACGGAAAGGCCUCUUUCGGGGGGUACUCGAGUGGCGAACGGGUGAGUAACACGUGAGUAACCUGCCCUUGACUUUGGGAUAACUUCAGGAAACUGGGGCUAAUACCGGAUAGGAGCUCCUGCUGCAUGGUGGGGGUUGGAAAGUUUCGGCGGUUGGGGAUGGACUCGCGGCUUAUCAGCUUGUUGGUGGGGUAGUGGCUUACCAAGGCUUUGACGGGUAGCCGGCCUGAGAGGGUGACCGGCCACAUUGGGACUGAGAUACGGCCCAGACUCCUACGGGAGGCAGCAGUGGGGAAUAUUGCACAAUGGGUGGAAGCCUGAUGCAGCAACGCCGUGUGCGUGAAGACGGCCUUCGGGUUGUAAACCGCUUUCGCUCAUGACGAAGCUUUGUGUGACGGUAGUGGGUAAAGAAGCACCGGCUAACUACGUG